Small nucleolar RNA from Rhincodon typus (whale shark), 92 nucleotides. RefSeq annotates it as small nucleolar RNA SNORD60. The record is from RefSeq and is a predicted model, not a curated record. The transcript has a single exon. Lineage: Eukaryota; Metazoa; Chordata; Chondrichthyes; Orectolobiformes; Rhincodontidae.
AGCCUGUGAUGAGCCUUUCUUUAUUUCUGACAUCUCCAAUGAAAGUGUUGCAUCAAAGCAAUGCUUGAUUAUUAUUUUUGUGGCUGAGGCUU